RNAcentral lists this ribosomal RNA (673 nucleotides) under uncultured crenarchaeote. RNAcentral's name for it is "bacterial SSU rRNA". It matches the Rfam family "Archaeal small subunit ribosomal RNA", at positions 200 to 875 of the family's 1478-position model. Lineage: Archaea; Thermoproteati; Thermoproteota. The record is from RNAcentral.
CGCUUCAGGAUGGGACUGCGACUGAUCAGGCUGUUGGCGGGGUAAUGGCCCACCAAACCAAUAACCAGUACGGGCCUUGAGAGAGGGGGCCCGGAGAUGGACACUGAGAGAAGGGUCCAGGUCCUACGGGGCGCAGCAGGCGCGAAACCUUCGCAAUGCGCGAAAGCGUGACGAGGUUAAUCCGAGUGGUUCCCGCUGAGGGAAUCUUUUGUCGGCUGUAAAAAGGCCGGUGAAUAAGGGGAGGGCAAGUCUGGUGUCAGCCGCCGCGGUAAUACCAGCUCCUCGAGUGGUCGGGGCGAUUAUUGGGCCUAAAGCAUCCGUAGCCGGUUCUGUAGGUCCUCUGUUAAAUCCAACGGCUUAACCGUUGGCCUGCAGAGGAUACCGCAGGACUAGGAGGCGGGAGAGGUGGACGGUACUCUACGUGUAGGGGUAAAAUCCUUUGAUCCGUGGAAGACCACCAGUGGCGAAGGCGGUCUGCCAGAACGCGCUCGACGGUGAGGGAUGAAAGCUGGGGGAGCGAACCGGAUUAGAUACCCGGGUAGUCCCAGCCGUAAACGAUGCGAGCUAGAUGAUUCAGUCGCAAAUCGCGAUUGAAGUGUCGCAGGGAAGCCGUUAAGCUCGCCGCCUGGGGAGUACGGUCGCAAGACUGAAACUUAAAGGAAUUGGCCGGGAU